RNAcentral lists this transfer RNA (73 nucleotides) under Candidatus Falkowbacteria bacterium RIFOXYA2_FULL_47_9. Its description in RNAcentral is "tRNA-Thr". It matches the Rfam family "tRNA". From Rfam's summary of the family: Transfer RNA (tRNA) molecules are approximately 80 nucleotides in length. Their secondary structure includes four short double-helical elements and three loops (D, anti-codon, and T loops). Further hydrogen bonds mediate the characteristic L-shaped molecular structure. tRNAs have two regions of fundamental functional importance: the anti-codon, which is responsible for specific mRNA codon recognition, and the 3' end, to which the tRNAs corresponding amino acid is attached (by aminoacyl-tRNA synthetases). tRNAs cope with the degeneracy of the genetic code in two manners: having more than one tRNA (with a specific anti-codon) for a particular amino acid; and 'wobble' base-pairing, i.e. permitting non-standard base-pairing at the 3rd anti-codon position. Lineage: Bacteria; Candidatus Falkowiibacteriota. RNAcentral also lists the same sequence under 1 other name. The record is from RNAcentral.
GCCGUCCUAGCUCAACUGGUAGAGCAGCGGUUUUGUAAACCGCAGGUUAUCGGUUCAAGCCCGAUGGACGGCU